UACACUCCUGCGGGAGGCAGCAGUGGGGAAUAUUGGACAAUGGGCGCAAGCCUGAUCCAGCCAUGCCGCGUGAGUGAUGAAGGCCCUAGGGUUGUAAAGCUCUUUCACCGGUGAAGAUAAUGACGGUAACCGGAGAAGAAGCCCCGGCUAACUUCGUGCCAGCAGCCGCGGUAAUACGAAGGGGGCUAGCGUUGUUCGGAUUUACUGGGCGUAAAGCGCACGUAGGCGGACUAUUAAGUCAGGGGUGAAAUCCCGGGGCUCAACCCCGGAACUGCCUUUGAUACUGGUAGUCUUGAGUUCGAGAGAGGUGAGUGGAAUUCCGAGUGUAGAGGUGAAAUUCGUAGAUAUUCGGAGGAACACCAGUGGCGAAGGCGGCUCACUGGCUCGAUACUGACGCUGAGGUGCGAAAGCGUGGGGAGCAAACAGGAUUAGAUACCCGAGUAGUCCC
RNAcentral lists this ribosomal RNA (448 nucleotides) under uncultured organism. RNAcentral describes it as "partial 16S ribosomal RNA". It matches the Rfam family "Bacterial small subunit ribosomal RNA", at positions 332 to 797 of the family's 1533-position model. The record is from RNAcentral.